Cydia pomonella (codling moth) is the source of this 1325-nucleotide long non-coding RNA. RefSeq lists it as uncharacterized. Lineage: Eukaryota; Metazoa; Arthropoda; Insecta; Lepidoptera; Tortricidae. The transcript has 2 exons. The record is from RefSeq and is a predicted model, not a curated record.
CAAAUUUCUAUAAAGAAAAGUAGCUACUGUAUGUAAUUGCAUGAUUUCUAUAGUAAUCUAAAUUGUAUUUUAAUUUUCUUAUUUAAUGCAUGUUAAUUAUAAGAUGUAAUGUUUUGAAAAGAUGUGUCCCGCCGAGUUUCGUGCCGGUUCAUAUUGGGAUACCCUCCUCCAAUUGAGGGGGGAUUUCAAUCUUCUCGGGUCAGAGGUUGUAACGUUAUACGUUACAUGAAAGUACUAUUAUUUAAAUAAACUACAUAAAUAAAUGAAAAUACCACUUAAAACUAAUUUUACAAACUAAUGUUUUCAAUUUUAAACAUAAAAUUGCAACAAGUAUUCGUCGGCGCCGUUUUAGCGCUCUUCGAAAGAUUUCGUAAGCAACAUUUUAGCGCUCACGGUAACGAGUUCUUUUGUUUGUCGAAUAUACUUAUCGGGAGUUGCAUUAGCGGAUCGCUCCCACGAUUCCCGAACUGCACUCGAGAUAGAACACACGUCACACGGAUCAUCGGUCUCUGAUACGUACCUAUUUUGGAAAAUGUAACCGAUUUGAUAUAAUUAAUAUUCGUGUUGUCAUCUCUUAACGUUCCUCAAAGUGUUUAGCGUCGUAAAUACGUUAAAUGUUAUAACGUGUGUGUGAAUAAACCCCAAAUUGGGUAAGUGGUAAAUUUAUUAACGCAAAUGUAGUUCUACUUGCUAAAUAGAUAUUAAGAUAAUUCUAGUGUUUUUACUUUGCAUCAUCAAAUCAUUUCACGUUAAAUUCAUUAGUUUAAAUAUGAUUUUGCCCGAUCAUGCUGCUGUAACGGUAUUGCAUCAGAAUUUAUUUCCACCCUCAUUUUAAAAUUCUAAAUCCUUGCAUCAUCUUUACAAAUUGUAAUCUCCGACUCUGAUUGUGAACAUCCACGGCAUCACUGCUACAUUUUAGGUGCUUUCUUUUCCUGCCGUUUGCCGGGGAUGCUCACAAAUUACGUUGCCGGACUUUUUCCUUAUACAUUUGGAUGACGCGUUCCAGGGUCCAACGUUCGGGCUGCUAUUUUGGGUGGAGGAUCCACCGCAGCCACACAUACCACCAACGCUACUCUCGCCAGUAGAAGGGCCAGCACUACAUCAAGCCCCGGGCAGCCAAGUACAGUCGUCCACAAUUGCGGCGCCCGCGUACACCACCGACGGCACAACCCAGGCGAGAGUACCUAACCGCAAAAUGGAUAGGAUCUUUGUGUGAAUUUAUUAAAAAAACCUGCGACCCAUAUUUUUUGUUAAGUGGCCCGCGUAUUUCGGAUCAUUGUUUUUUUUAUUUUAUUUUAAAUUAAAUGUUGUUUAUUUUGCACGAA